Molecule: ribosomal RNA, 571 nt
Filed under: Minutisphaera parafimbriatispora
Lineage: Eukaryota; Fungi; Ascomycota; Dothideomycetes; Minutisphaerales; Minutisphaeraceae
Description: eukaryotic LSU rRNA
Rfam family: Eukaryotic large subunit ribosomal RNA
Source: RNAcentral
AAGAAACCAACAGGGAUUGCCUCAGUAACGGCGAGUGAAGCGGCAACAGCUCAAAUUUGAAAUCUGGUCCUUUCAGGGCCCGAGUUGUAAUUUGGAGAGGAUGCUUCGGCUGCGGCCCUGGUCUAAGUUCCUUGGAACAGGACGUCACAGAGGGUGAGAACCCCGUACGUGGCUGGGUGCCAACGCCAUGUGAAGCUCCUUCGACGAGUCGAGUUGUUUGGGAAUGCAGCUCUAAACGGGAGGUAGAUUUCUUCUAAAGCUAAAUACCGGCGAGAGACCGAUAGCGCACAAGUAGAGUGAUCGAAAGAUGAAAAGCACUUUGGAAAGAGAGUUAAAAAGUACGUGAAAUUGUUGAAAGGGAAGCGCUUGCAACCAGACUUGGGCGUAGUUGUUUAGCUGGGCUUCUGCCCGGUGCACUCUUCUGCGCCCAGGCCAGCAUCAGUUCAGGCGGCCGGAUAAAGGCCUUGGGAAUGUAGCUCCUCUCGGGGAGUGUUAUAGCCCUCGGUGCAAUGCGGCCUGCCUGGACUGAGGUCCGCGCUUCUGCUAGGAUGCUGGCGUAAUGGUUGUAAGC